This 27118-nucleotide long non-coding RNA is filed under the name Eucalyptus grandis. Its description in RNAcentral is "long non-coding RNA (EGRA_LNC003900)". The record is from RNAcentral. Lineage: Eukaryota; Viridiplantae; Streptophyta; Magnoliopsida; Myrtales; Myrtaceae.
GCUGCAUCUGCAGGUCAUAUCCUACUUCAGACCUCAGUCAAUUCUAUAAAGCUAUUCACAAAUUCUCAUUAAGGCAACGAACAGAGUAUACCCUCUACUUGCCACCAGAACUAGACUAUUGACAUUCCCUUUCCGGCUAAUUUAACUUCGGCAAAGAAACCAUACUUUUGAUGAAUCCCCAUGGUGACUCUGCUAGGUAGGCUUCCUGCCUUUGAAGGGAAAGGUCAGGUGUUCAAAACCCCUGCUGGCAGACCAUUGGGUGUAUUACGCAUGGUGUCCUGGUAGUGGGUCCUGGGCUAGCGUCACCUGGGGGUUUACGUGGCGGCUGUCGGCCAAAGCGGUUCCUCCGACAAAAAAAAAAAAAAAAAACUCGAGAACUCGGCUCAUACCUGGCCUAUCCCGAUUAUGAUGGCUAGUGAACAUACACGCAAUGCCGAAGUACUCCUCCACCCUCGCUUCGACCAGGCCAUCCCUUGAAACGGCCGGAUCGACCAUCUCCAUCUGCCGGUUCUCAUCCACCAUGUUCCGAGCCCAAACAGUCAUCUCGACCUCCUCUCCCUUAUCCACCACCGAUAAAUCAGGCCUCCGACCCGUGGUGAUCUCCACCAUCAGAACACCAAAGCUAUACACAUCGGCCUUCACGGUCACCGCCAACCCUUCCUUAUACUCUGGCGGCGCAUACCCCAUCGUCCCGGCAAAUUGCGUGGACACAUGGGAUCGGGAGUCCUUAAUCAUCCUUGCAAGCCCGAAAUCUGCAAUGUGCGGCUCGAAUUCGGCGUCCAACAGCACGUCACUCGCCUUGAUGCCUCUGUGAAUGAUCGGCAUUGGCAAUCCGUGCAUGUACGCUAAUCCAGUGGCCACGCCCCUGAUUAUCUUCAUCCCAGUGUCCCAGGACAAGGGCGGCCUCUCGACCGAGUGCCUUGACCACGAGAUGUCACCGUUCUCGGACGACGACGUGGUGUCAUACAGCCACUGGUCGAGGCUUCCCUUCUCUACGAACCCAUAGACCAAGACCCUAUCCGAAUUCGACAUCCAGUAACCGAGGAGUUUGACAAUGUUCGGGUGGUGAAGCUUACCUAAGGCUUCCAUCUCGGCCCUGAACUCCUGGAACCCCUUGAAGGCGUUGGGCUCGAGCUUCUUGAUGGCAACGGUGAGGCCGUUGGCGAGGCGGCCCUUGUAGACGAGGCUGAAGUUGAUAUUGCUAGUAUAAGCACCUAGAGGGAGGUGAAUAGGUGUAAAAAUAAUUUCUCGAGAUAUGAAAGCAAUACUAGGCAAACAAUAGAAAUGAAGUUCUCCGAAACAGAUUAUGAUCAAAGUAAAUAGAGAGUAGGGAAGAGAAAAUUGAACACAAGGUUUAUAGUGGUUCGGCUUAUUCCAAGCCUACGUCCACUCUUCUGCACUGAUAGCCCACCGACUAGAUUUCACUAUGAACAAAAGAGAUGUUAUAGCAAUACUUUUCCUUGAUUCCACAAUGUAGAUACUCUACCACACUUCCUCAAGGUAUCUCAAAAUAUAGACUCUCUUUUGCGUACAAGAUUUCACUCAGUAAAUGAAUUGACUAAAAAUCAAGGAGUUUCAGACUUUGGAAUUCUUCUAUCGUGCACACUCUCGAACAACUGAAACGUCUUCCUUUUAUACUCCUUUGCGCCAUCAUACCCGUUGGUACUUACCAAAUGAAUUCUUUCAAUCUUCCUGUUGGAUAGAAUCAAUUAGGAAGAUCAUUCGAGCUAUUAAAGGAACAUGUCGAUAACCUAUCAAUCCUGCUUGCCCAUACAAUCAGGAUCUUGGUUUCCAUUAAUAGAACAUUCCAAGAAUACUUUGCUAAUCAUCGGAUUCUUAAUCAAUCUUGAUUCGAAUAAAGGAAUCUGUUAUGUCAUAUCUAGCCAAGAGAUCUUCUCUAGUAGAUAAGGCCAAAUCCUUAAUGAAGCACUCAGUUCUAAAUAGCAUUUCUUCAACGGAUUAGAAACUGUCAAUGAGAAUAGACUUUGAGUCUUGAGUCUAGUAGUCCGGAGGUCUUCAGACUUUAAUAGUAGAGUCUGCAAAUCUUUAGACUAGACUGAUAGAAAAGUUUUGUCAACUUCAAAAUAUUCCAGAAGGAUUUAUCCAACAGAAGCUGCUGUCGCCGAUGAUCAACUGGUGGUGGAAGUUCUCAGUGGCCGUCUGAAGCUCGGCCAUGGAGAUCUAGAGCUUGGGGUCGAAGGAGGCGUUCUCGGCGCCGGCGAUGAACGAAAGCUCCUCCUCCUCCGAGUUCGAUAUCGUCUUCCGCCUGCGCCAAUUGUAGGUGAUGGCGAGGCAGACCAAGAAGAGGGAGAUGCCGACGAGGCUCGCGACUGCAACGACGAUUGCUUGGAUAUUGGAGUUCAUGUCAGAGAGAGAGAGAGAGAGAGUGAGUGAGUUUGGGCGUUUAGCUGGCUAAGGAAGGUGGGUGCGAGGAAGAGGAGAGAGAAGUCGACUGAGAAUAUAUAUAGAGAGAGAGAGGAGGUGGCAGAAGAAGAAGACCACGACGACGAGGACGACGACUGAGGAGAGGCGAGACGAUCUUUAUUUAUGCCGUAAAAAAAAAAAACCGGGGGAUUUGCUUUUAGGAAAAUGAUGAGUCAUUCUCGGUCAGUGAUCAACUUAGUCAACGGUGUUCUGCUUCUACUGCACGUUCGAUUAUUGAAGGUGCAACUUUCUUUUUUAAUUGUCACGAAUGUACAUUUCUGAUAAAUUUAUCUUAAUUUAAUUUUUUAAAUCAAUAAUCUUAAAUUAGUCUAUUUAUAAUAGAUUUACCGCAGACUCAUUUUUCUGUAAAAAUUUUUAAAUCGAUAUACUUAUGAUAAAUUUAUCAUAGAUUUUUUUUUCACUAUAAAAAAUUAUAAAUCAAUGCAUUUAUGAUAAAUUUAUCUUCAUUUAGUUUCGAUUAAAUUUUUACUGUUAAAUUUAUUGACAUGGAUGAUUCAAAGUGAUGUGAUAUGAGCAAAUAUUAUGAAAAACCCCAAAUUGAUAAGUUAAAUAUGACUCUUUUGAUGACCAAAUUUUUCCCCAAUCCCAUGAUCAUGUCUCCUGCUACAAGUGAUAUCUGAAACUAUCGUUAUCAGAGCUUUGACGAUCGAGUCAUAGUUUUGGUAAUGAGAUAGAACUUUUAAGGGCUCUUUCAAUGGCAACCCGUGUAACAUGAUUAAAUAUGCAUCGACCAUCAACGAAAUAUAAUCAUAUCAAAUUUAGGACAAUAGUCAUGUCUAAAGAAAUAUCACCGGUUCAAAAUCUUAAUAAUUGAUAACAUGGAAAGCAAAUAAGUUUUUCGCUGAUUAUAUCUGAAACGGUGUACUUAUAGAUUGCGUCGCCAUUGACUCAUUAAUUCGAAGAGGCCAUAUAGGUCAAUCUUGUGUCUGCUGAGUUGGUCGUGAGUACCGUACGAUUAUUAAUCACGUCUCACAGGCUGGACACAAACACAAUUAAUCCCUAGCCAUGUCAGCUAAUUUUGGGUCGUGCCAGAAAUCACUCUCUCUAAAGUGACCCGGCGGCUGCUCAUGCGGUUGCCGUCUAGCUUACUGCAUAUAGGUCGAAUUUAUUGAAGAGACGCGAGUUGGGAAAUUGCACCACACUUGCGUUGCAAAUUCCACUUUGGUUGGAAAUCAAGCUGGCUUCGGGCUCUCGCGCUGCUGAUCCGAAGUUAGAAAGCUGUGCAAUCUAAUCUGAAAUUCCACCUUGAGUUUAUGAAAUUAUUUUUUAAUACUAGUCUUCGAUCUCAAGGUUUUACAUGCUAGGUGGACCUCUCUCGCAAGGUUUUCAUCCAAGAGACCGUGGAGUUUAAAUUUUUCUUAAAACACCAGUCAUGGUAAGAGUGUCAGAAUCAAACUAAAAUUUCUUGCAUUUGUGGUUCGAUUCGGAUAAUGGUUAAAGCCACAUUUCGGGUUUGAUUCAAAUAAUGGUAAAAAACGCAUUUCUUUUUACCAAUUUGGUUCGAUUAACCGAACCAAAUGAUAAAAUAUAAAAUCCAUGCUUAUAGAUAUAAUCGUUGGAAGCCCUGUCAAUACUCUCUCUCUCUCUCUCUCGUCUUCUCCUGCUCGAGUUCAAGACAAACGGAAUUGCAUUGGUCUCUUCAAAGCAACACCACCAGCAGGUCCCCUAUUGCCGGGGAUGGCGACGGCGCCGACGACUAGGUUUUGGACCCAAAACCCACAAAUGAAGCGACUCACUUAUUACCUUCUGCACAUAACUCUAGGAGAUUGAAGGAUUCGGAGAGUUCACCUCGGCUUUGAGGAUUUCAGGUGAGUAGUUCUUUUGAAUCAAACUAGGAUCUGCGAUAUGGGAGCUCUGUUUUGUGUAUUCUCUCAGAUCUGCGAUCAUCUGAAGAAACCCCUUUUUUUGCCUUUAUUUGCAACCUUUGCUGAUGACGGGCUGUGCUUUUGGCUUAGCUAUCUCGACUUUGCUUCAAAACCAAAGGGUCCCUCUUUCUUCUGUUGCCUUCUUCCUUUCUGGUACUCCGGUGUUGUUUGAUAACGCUUUUUUGAAUCGACACAUCAUUUAACCAACCCGCUCACCCAUCAUCAUGUCAGUGAGUUUAUAACUCUGUCAUGUGUGCGUAUGAUACUCGAAAGACUUUACCCUUUUUUUCUUUCUCUAUUCUUCAUUAAUCGUGGACAUAACAUUAACCGUCUCACAAUUCUGGUACUGCCUCUCCACUUUUGAAAAUUAUAGUUUAUUCUUGGAAAUCAUGCUUACACCAAAGAAAUUCAAUAUGAGACAGACAAAGUGAAAGUGAAGAUGCUUUUUUUUUUUUCCAAAUUUAGAUGGUACGUAAUGUCAAUUACAAAAUUGUUAAAAUGCAAAGUGUAAUCAAUGAAAAAUAAAAUGCCGUUUGGCAAAAUUUUGAAGUUGCUUUUGUCGAGAUGCAAUUGCAUCUCUAAAUCUCUCUAAAGGCCUUUGACUCAAGGGAGGUCUGGAAAUAUUUUGAAAUGCAAAUAGACUAUUUUUUUGUUACGAAAUCGUACGUCGAUUCCAGAAAAAUAACGCUUGCAAACAAUUCACCAGACAGAAUAUAAUAAUAAAAUAACAGAAUCAGAUGAACACACCAGAAAAUUUGUUAUCGAAGUUCACCCAAACCUGGGCUACGUCUCCGCGCAGAGGCACUCUGCGAAUCCACUAAACUUUAGAAAAAGUUGGAAUACAAUAAUGAUCUUCUCUCAAAAUCAGAGCACAAAGAGAUUGAGAACCCUCAUCAAGAAAAAAAUCACUUUUUUCUUCUCUCUUUUUCUUGCUCCUCUAUUUCCUUUUUCUGCCUCUUGACGGCUAGGGUUUUGCCAUCGCUAACAUAAAGAUAUCACUUUUAACCUAAAAGGAAAUCUAAUAGAAAAGACAAAAAAAACCCCUAAAAACAAAUAAUUGACUUCAUCUAUAACAUUUUUUUCCCUGCCAACUUUACUCUCGCUCAACUUCAGAAUUUUGCCUUCAAAAAUACUAAUUUUACCUUUGUCUAACAAGUAGUUGGUGUGCCACUAACCUGCCACCGACGAGUGGCCAGCGAGCUACCGCCGCCCUCACUUGAGGUCGAGCGACCUUAGGUGAGGUUGACCAACAGCCGAUUUGGUUUGCUGGUAACGAUUAAGUUUCACUAGCAAAUAGUUUUAUCUUUUUUUAUUAAAACAAUUAGCAAAAAAUCCUUUAUCAAGUAUAAUCUUUAGCAAAUAAUAUUUUCAUCAAAGUUGUUUUUCAAUGUGUUUUAAAAUACAUUUUAUCAAACACCAAUAGCAUUUCGUGAAAUCGUUUUCAGUUCCCAUAGAUAUUCAUCAAAAUCGAAUCAAACGCACCCCAAAACUCUGAAGGGCUUGGGGGCGUAAGCUUAGAGUCGCCGGUCACCAUCGCAUUGGUCAAUGCCUGCAACUUCUGUUGAAGUGGUCUUCUUCUUCUUUAAUUGUUGGCUCCAGAAUUCGCAUCCCUCCGGGACGUCCUUUAAUUAAUGCCGCGUGCUAGAGGACAAGGGGACAAAGGACUUUCGCUAUGCCUUUUUCCUUUUGUUUUCUCAUCUUACUUUUCACCUUUUUCCCUUUGAAUUUCGGUGCUUACCGCGUUCAUCUCAUCUUUCCUCACUUCAUAAUGGUAAAGGGCAGUCUUGCAAAUUCGUUCAUUAUGAUCUAACCUUUUAUUGGGCUCUUGGCUUGUUUGAGAUACGUUUGAUGCUGGGGGCAGGGGGACAUAUUUACGACCAAAAGCAAUAGCAUGUCAAAUUAACGUUUACGUAAGAAAUCUUCGUCAAACAUAGCCAGCUGAAAUUUGAAUUAAAGUCAAUCGAGUAGGUGUUUCAUUUAUAGCCUCAAUUGAAUUAAAAUAUGCUACUAAACACAUUUGGAAUUAGGCUACAUCUAAAAAAGUGGACAUUAUCCAUUUGCGAACUUACCUAAAAAUCAAUACAGGCGAUGGAUGUCCCGUGCUAAUGACUUAAUCGGUUAGAGUUGCGGUAAACUCUGCAGAGGAACGUGCAGCUUUGGGCCCCAAGCUGGGGUACCAUAAUCGCGUCCUUUUUAUUAGAAGCGGCUAAGUCGUAGAUUUUGCUGAUAUUCCUGUCCUUGCCCUUUUCGAAUGUCUAGACUGCCCAUGAGAUUUCCAAAUCCACAAAAGAAGGAAGGCCCACUAGAUUAGUGUUGAUCUCCAGCCUCGUCAAUCCUUUUUGCUCAGAAAAUCAGGUUUUUGAUUCAGGCAUGUCCCUUGUUGACUUAUGGGAUUUCAAGAACACUCCUCUUAGAUCAGUGCCAAUAUGGACAAAAGGGUUGGUAUCGAAAGGAUUCGCAUGUUUUGGGCGCAAUGAGCCCGAUCGCACAUCCUGCUCUUGAGAUCAGAUGGAUGUACCUGAAUUAGGUUCAUAUACUCUCGAAGCAAACAAUGAUGCCGUCCCUUGAGAAGACCUAAAUCCACUCGCCGGGAUGGCAAGGUCGGUUCCUCAUAAAUGUAGGGUCACAAAGACCAAAUAGCUCAUAUUCACACGCAUGUUUCGUGGGUUUAGCAAUUAGUCAAGAUGUGAUAAUCUCAUUGAACCGCCAUUCACUUCUAUUGAAUCAUUCGUAUAAAGAUACGCUUCGAGUUUCGUCACGUCACUCGAAUUCAUUUUUCCAAACGAAGUCAUGGUUUCAAAGAGAUGGUCACUACUCUCUAUCUGAAAGCAUCUACUCAACAUGGAGUGACCACGGAAGGAAACAUUUUUCCUUUAACAGAUUCAAGCCCGGAUUAGGAGGGAGAGAUCAAAAUGGCUUCGAGAAAAGACAUCCUUGGUGAGAUUCGCGGGGACAUGCAUAUAAUAGGAUCGGAAUAAGUAUGAUACGGUCUAAGCGAUAUCCUCAAUCUCGAUUUUUUAUUCAAUAAUCAUAGAUGAACCAACAAAAUCUAACUCGGCAUCAAUCCUUUUUGUUUCCGAAAUAUUCGAUGAGGAUGUUCCUGGGGAAACAUAUUGGAGAUGAGAUUGACAUGAUGCAGACCAAGAAGAUCCUUGCAUCAGCCUGUGAAAAUAGCAAAGAAACUAAGACUCUCUGUUUCAAUCAAUCUCAAUUAGGAGGCCGUCAUUCCAGCAAAAACCCGGAUUCACGACAGCAUCAAGUGUAACCAACAGAGUUUUGCAAAAGCCACAAAAUCUAUAUAGAUACGAUAUCAUAAUGUCUAUCUACUCACAAGCUUAACCUUGAUUCCUUCUCUUUCUGGGUGAUUCAACUUUGGCGCAGAAACCAUACCUUCGAUGAAUUCCGCCAUUUUCAUCCGAAUGUAGGCUCCAACAACUCCAGAACUCGGCUCAUACUGGGCCUUUCCUUUGCAUCCUCGCUAGUGCACAUACAUGCAAUGCUGAAGCACUCCUCCACCGUGGCUUUCACCAGGCCAUCCCUGGAAACGGCCGGAUCGAUCAUCUCCAUCUGCCGGUUCUCAGCCACCAUGUGCCGAGCCCACACGGUCAGCCCGACCUCCCUUCCCCUAUCCACCACCAGUGGUAAAUUGGGCCUCCGACCGGUCGCAAUCUCCAGCAUCAGAAUACCAAAGCUAUACACAUCGCCCUUCACAGUGGCCGCCGUGAACCCUUCCUUAUACUCUGGCGGUAUAUACCCCAUCGUCCCGGCAAGUUGCGUGGACACAUGAGAUCGCGAGUCCUUAAUCAUCCUAGCAAACCCGAAAUCUGCGAUGUGCGCCUCGAAAUCGGCGUCCAAUAGCACGUCACUCGCCUUGAUGUCUCGGUGAAUGAUGGGCAUCGGCAAUCCGUGCAUAUACGCCAAUCCACUGGCCACGCCCUUGAUUAUCUUCAUCCUAGUGUCCCAGGGCAGGGGCAGCCUCUCGGGCGAGUUCCUCGACCACGAAAGCUCGCUGUUCUCCGACGUGGUGUCGUACAGCCACUGGUCGAGGCUCCCCUUCUCAAUGAACUCGUAGACCAAAACCCUAUCCGAAUUCAACAUACAGUAGCCAAGAAUCUUGACGAUGUUGGGGUGCUGAAGCUUACCUAAGGUUUCCAUCUCGGCCCUGAACUCCUGGAACCCCUCGAAGGCGUCGGGCUCAAGCUUCUUGAUGGCAACGAUGAGGCCGUUGGCGAGGCGGCCCCUGUAGACGAGGCCGAAGCCGCCGUCGCCGAUGAUAUUCUUGGGGUGGAAAUUCUUGGUGGCCGUCCGGAGCUCGGCCAUGGAGAUCCGGAGCUUGGGGUCGAAGGAGGCACUCUCGCGGCCACGUUUCCGCUUGCGGCGGCUGCAGGUGAAGGCGAGGAAGAUGAAGAAGAGGGAGGCGCAGAUGAGGCCUGCGGCCGCGGCGAUGCCUAUUUGGAUGUUGCGGUUCAUGUCACAGAGAGAGAGAGAGAGAGAGAGAGAGAGAGAGAGAGAGAGUUAAGAGUUUGGGAGUUUAGUUAGACGAGGGAGGUGGGUGUGAGGAGGAGGAGAGAGAAGUCGACAGAGUAUAUGUAGAGAGAUAGAGAGAGAGGAGGUGGAAGAAGAAGACGACCGAGAAGACGCGGGAGGGUCUUUGUUUUUUCGCCGUAAACCGGGGAUUUGCUUCUAGAAAAAUGAGGAGAAAUUUCCGAUGGACCACCAACACUUUCCGAAAAAUUCGUAUCAUAUUGAACACUUAUUCAACACUUUCCCAUACAUUUCGACACUUAAGUCCACACGUGUUAGAAAAUUUGAGACCUGAUUAACUCUCCUGACACUCUCUCAUAUUCAAAUCUAGAAUUUCGACAUACGAGUUUGGAAUUCCAACACGUAAUUCCGACAUGCAAGGGUCAAUUUUAAAUUUUUUUAAUAAAUUAUGAGUCCAAAUGUAAGUAUGUAAACAAAUAAUAAAAAUAAUAAAGAGGAAAGAAAGAAAAACUUAAUAUUGUCUUCUCUUUCGACUCUCAUUUCCCGUGAUACACGGUUCAUCUCUCAAGUUUGUUUUUUUCUCUUCUCUUCCGACAUGUUCUGACAUACAAGUCUAAAAAUGUGGAUUGCUUAUUUUUUUUUCUUGAAGUUUUAUGAAUUAUUGAAAUGGAAUUGAAUUUGUCAAAUUGAAAUAAUGAAUGAUAUUAAUGAAUUAUGAGUUUUUGUUUUUAGUAUAUAUUCAUUCUAUGCUCUUUAUUUAUUUAUAUGUUAAUUUGAAUAAAAUAAUCACAAAAAAGAUAAUUUAUCAUAUAUAUACAUUUUAAUAUGCAUCCUAACGUAUUAGAAUUCUGCAUUUUUUAAUAAAUAACGUAUUGGUGUAUUGUGUCGUGUCAUGUCGUCAGUGUUAAUGUUACUUAGGUCAUUUCUCAGUUGGACUUUGAUGAACUUAGUCAACGGUGGUCUACUUCUACCGUACAUUCAAUUAUUGACAAUGCAAACUUUUUUUUUUCAUUAUUGUUAUUGUGAGAAAUCUUAUAUUGAUGUACAUGUGACAAAUUUAUCUCAAAUUAACUUUUUAAUCAUUAAAAAUCUUAAAUUAGUACAUUUAUGACAAAUUUACUUCAAACUCUUUUUUUUUUACCAUAAAAAUUUCCAAAUCGAUAUAUUUAUGACAAAUUUAUCAUAGACUCAUUUUGUUUACUAUAGAAAAUCAUAAAUCGAUAUAUUUGUGAUAAAUUCACCCUCCGUUACUUUUCGUCAAAUUUUACCGUUAAAUUUGCUGACAUGGAUGAUUCAAAGUGAUAUGAGCAGAUAAAAAAAAAAAAAACCCCAAACUGAUGAGUUAAACCUGACUCUUUUGAAGACAAAAUUUUUCCUUGAUCCGACGAUCAUGUCUUCCGCUACAACUGACAUUUGAAACCAACACUAACAGAGCUUGGACGAUGGAGUCGUAGUUUUGAUAAUGAGAUGGAACUUUUAAGGGCUCUUUCAAAACACGACAACUUGUGUAACACGAUUAAAUAGUGCAUCAACCAUCAACGAAAUAUAAUCAUGUCAAAUUUAGGACAAUAUUCGUGCUCGAAGAAAUAUCGCUGGUUUAAAAUCUUAAUAAUAGAUAACAUGGAAAACAAAUAGAUUUUUCACUAAUUAUAUGUGAAGGGGUGCACAUAGAGAUUGUGUCGCCACUGACUCAAUAAUUUGAACAGGCCAUAUAAGUCAGUCUUGUGUCUGAUGAAUUGAUUAUGAGUACGAUACGAUUAUUAAUCACAUCUCCCAGGCUGGACACGAACACAAUUAAUCCCUACCCAUGUCAGCUAAUUUCGGGUCGCGCCAGAAAUCGCUCUCUAAAGUGACCCGGCAGCUGCUCACGCGGUUGCCGUCUAGCUUACUGCAUAUGGGUCCAAUUAUUGAAGAGAUGCGAGUUGGGAAAUUGCACAACACUUGCGUUGCAAAUUCCACCUUUGGUUGGAAAUCAAGCUGGCUUCAGGCUCUCGUGCCGUUGGUCCGAAGUUAGAAAGUUGUGCAAUCUAAUCUGAAAUUCUACCUUGAUUUUUGAAAUUAUUUUUUAAUACUUGUCUUGGAUCUCGAAGUUUUACACGCUAGGUGGAUCUCUCUCGUAAGGUUUCCAUCCAAGAGAUCAUGGAGUCCGAAUUUUUCUUAAAACAAGUAGGGCUGUCACAAUCAAAUUAAAAUUUUGUUUAUUUUCGGUUUGAUUCGGAUAAUAGUAAAAACCACAUUUCCUUUCACCGAACCAAACCGAAUGAUAAAAUAUAAAAUCAUGCUUAUGGAUAUAGUCGUCGGAAGCCCUAUGAAUACUCUCUCUCUUCUUCUCCUGCUCGAGUCCAAGACGAACAAAGUUGUAUCGGUCUCUUCGAAGUAACACCAUCAGCAGGUCCCCUAUUGCCGGGGACAGCGACGGCACCGGCGCCAACCACUAGGUUUCCGACCCAAAGCCCACAAAUCAAGCGACCCACUUACUACCUUCUGCACAUAACUCUAGGAGAUUGAAGGAUUCGGAGAGUUCACCUCGACUUUGAGGAUUUCAGGUGAGUCAUUCUUUCGAAUCAAACUAGGACCUGCAAUAUGGGAGCUUUGUUUUGUGUAUUCUCCCAGAUCUGCGAUCGUUUGAAGAAAAUCCUUUGUUUCCUUUACUUGCAACCUUUGCUGAUGGCGGGCGAUGCUUUGGGUUUAGACGUCACGGGACUUUGCUUCAAAAUCAAAGGGUAGUGGAUGGAUAAAUUUAUGUUUGUUCGAUUUCUUUUUUUCAGACUAGAAAUCUAUUUAGUAACAUUAGCUAAUUUUCUUAUUUUCCAAAGCAAAUCAAGGUGUGGAUAGUAACAUUUUCAUUUCGAAUAAUAAUUUCUUUUCAGAAAUAGAUCUUUUCUAUUUCUACUCCUUAUAAUCAUUUCUGAGUAAAACAACGAGUUUGACAAUUAUACAAAAUUUAUAUUCUUGGAAUAAAAAAUAAUAGGAAUGCGUUUAGUACAAUCCAUAAAAAGAAUAAGAACACGUUUGAGUCGCCACCUCCGCAAUAGGCGACUAGUGGCGGCGAUCGUUGGCAACAGUGGCCGGCUGGCAGAUGGCAGCCCGAGGGGAGUGGCAAGGAAGAAGUAGAAAAGAAAAAGAGAAAAUAAAAAAAAAUUACCUAUUUUUAGAAAUUGUUCCCAAAAAUAAGAAACUACUUUUUUUACUCUUCAUUUAUGUUCUAAAUCUAUUCACAGGUUACUUUUUUAUUCCAAUGAAUAAAAAAAUUAAUUAACGUUAUCAAAUUAAUUUAUAUUAUUUUCUUGUUUCGGAGAGUAAAGAACAAAAGAAUAGAGGAACAGAAACGUUCCCAUGCGCUACCUUAGGCCGCAUUUGGUAACGCUCCCGGGAACAAGUGCUUAUGUUCUUUUGUUCCUAGGAUUGGGAACAAGUACUUCUGUUCUUUUGUUCCUAGGAGUAGAAAUAGAACAAAAACACGUUUUAUAAGUUUUUUUGUUCCUAGGUUCCUGGGAACAAAUUCGUAGAUUUGGAAUUGAAACAAGAAACAAAAAAAAAUUACUUCUUAUUUUCAUGAACAACUCAAAAAACAAGAAUUAAGCUUUUUUUUUCCUUUCCUUUUCUUCCUUUUCUUUUUUUUUCCUUACUCUUUCUCCUUUCUUCCCCUAGCCAGUCGCCGGCCUUGGUGCCAACCGGCUACCUCGCUAAAGCCUCACCAGCCCUCAACAAGGUUGCCCCAAGCUUGCCGGCCAUUGGCUCGAUCCCCCUAAGCCUCCCAUGGCUAGGGAGGCUCCCCUGAGCCUUGCCAUGGCUAGGCGAGACCCAACCUCACCUAGAUUUGGGCGAGGCCCCCCUCAGGCAGACCUUGCCGGCCCUUGUCUAGCCGAUUGCUAGCCGACAACCGAUUGGAGAAAGGAGAAGAAAAAGAAAAAAAGAAAAAAAAGAAGAAGAAAAAAGUAAUAAAUUUAUUAAGAAAUUAAAAGAAAUUCUAAUUCAUAAAAAUAUAUGGGAUCGUACCAAACGCAUUUUUUUCUCGAAAAUAGAAAUUUUGCGUGGUUACUAAACAUGUUGAAAUGCUCAGAAACUAUUCCCAAGAAUAGAAAUAGGAAAAAGUGUUUCUGAAAGAAAAUUGUUCCUUUACCAAAUGCAUCCUUAAUAGCUAGAUAAUAAAUUUGAAAAAGAAACAAAAACAUAAUUUUUGGUUUUUAGAAACGAUUUAUGAAACAAGACAUUUUCUUUUUUUUUUCUUUUCCUUUUCUUCUUCAUUUAGCCAGUCACUAGGCCUCAGAGAGGUUGACCUCACCUAGCCAUGGUUAGGUCGCCGACUAGAAAUGAAGAAGAAAGGAUGAAAAAAGAAAAGAAAAGAAUUUAGAAAAAUCUCAAAAAAUUAUUAAAAAAUUAAAAGAAAUCUUAUAUCACAAAAAAAUUUGAAGUUCGUACCAAAUACAUUCCUAUUCUUUUUUUAUUCCGAGAAUGGAAAUUUUGUGCAGUCAUCAAACGCGUUUAAAUGCUUUGAAACUUAUUGAGUGAAUAAAAAUAGAAAAAACUAUUUCUGAAAAAAAAAAAGUUUUCGGGAAACACAUCCUAAGUAUAUUUAUGUUCCUCCUUGUCCUAUCACUAAAGCGCGAAAGUAUAUGAGAUGAGUCAAAUAAACAAUCUAGAAAGAUUUAAAUUCGGGACUUUUUAUUAUGAUACGAUGUGAAAUUUUGUAAGACCAUUUUUAAUUGCUCUAAAAACUUAAGUCGUCAAAUUAAGCCAUCAUUUGAAUAUUAUAUUCAACGAAAAGGGCUUGCAAUUGCUGAGUACUGCAUAAUGGAAUUGCACCUGAUUUUCGGGAUCUCAUUAGGAAUGGAGUCGAUUGAACCUGGUCGCAUUCGAAAUCUAAAAGCUCUUGACAAACAAAAGCAAUCGAGACCAAUGCAGUUCAUGCAAACAAACGCCUCAAGCCUUUGAAUGAUCACAGUUCUCCGAAUUCAAAUUCCCAAGCAGUAGGCUCGCACGCAACGUCUUGCCAAGUGACACAAAUUUUGAGCUUCUGCUGAUUAAAUAUUCUGGACAUACUCAUAAACAGCUGAUGCAAUUUAUUAGACACUGCCACGGUCUAUAAACAAGCAAGCAAAAGGAGCAAAAGUCACACAUCCUAGCAAGACAAAGUUAACCCCGGCUGAUACAUACCCAAACUUAUAAGGGGUCACGUCAUUUCAAUUCAGCAUAGCUCUCCAGGUCCUCUUCCACCACGUACUUCAAGAGAUCGGGGUUCUCAGAAUUCCUGACCGAGCAGUUGGCUCGGAUUUCUCCUUUCGUCCCUGUCAACACACUGAGUUGUCCCAUUUUCGUCAUAGCUAGGACAAACUUCUCGAAGAACAAUUCCUGGUCCUCGGCGAAGCUAGUGACGAUGUCCCUCGUUGUGGGAUCCUCAUACAGAUCUUGGUCUGAGGUGAACAGGCCUUGGCGGUUCAUCAAAUCGACAAAGUACUUGUUGUCGAAUCGGUUGGGUGAUCGGAUGUCCAAGACCGUAGUGUUGGUGGAGUUUGUGGUGGGGCACACGCCCUUGAGAUCAUGGGCAAAGGUCUUCUCCAUGGUGGGGUCUUGGGUCGGGUAGAGCCGAUUCUCAAAGGCGGUGCAGUGCGCAAGCCCAAUGGUGUGGCCUCCAGAGAGGGCCACUACGUCGGUAGCGUCGAAGUUUUUCUUGGCUAGGGCGGAGAGAAUUUCACUGGCGUUCUCAGUUGGUGCAGGUAUAUUCUCUAUGACCACAUUUUCAGUCGCAGGCGUAAGUCCAUCCCGCCUUCCCAACGGCACAUCAUACUCAGGUCCGCCCGACUGCACACGACGACGAGAAUAACAGAAUUAGAAUCCAGAACUUGGAAAGCAUCUGUUGAUGCUCAUUGAUAUGAUGGGCAAUAGUAAUCAUAAUCGAGAAAACUUCGAUCAUGUAUAGGACAUGAAGCCAGCGGAGAACUUUGAUGUCUUCUUCGUGUGGAGGUGAUCAUUUGCAAGUCAACUCUCAUAAACUAGAAGCUAGUUGGGAGUAGAUUAUCAUUAAACAGAAUCGUCUACCUAGGUUGUCAUUUCAACUGCAAUUUCCAAGAACUUUGGAAGCACAUGCUUACCUGACCAUGUUGAAAGAGUCCAAAGACAUGUCAAGUUGCAGUAUUUUAUCCAUAAUCAUGAUCCCAAAAUUCAGAAUAAACCUCCGACUGGUUGGGAUCUUAAAAAAAUGGUGAUAACUACCGGUUAAAACUCAGAUAUAAACAACGACGAUGUCUCAGUUUUGACCAUUGAAAUUUGCUGUAUACUGAACUUUUUGGCUCAUAAUGACAGGUUUAAUUGUCCUGAGUUUCCAAGAUAAUGCUGCCGACUUAAAUGGACAUCCGCUACAUCUCACAAAACAUUCAGAACACGAACAGGAGGAAACUACAAGAAUCCAAAUAUAGUUUAACCACGCUUGGUUACAUCAGCGAGUCCACUUUCUCGUGAUUUAUAAUUCCUCUUACCAAGCAUCAUCGAACAUUACCAUUGAGAGAGCGAUAAAGUAUAAUUAUCAUCAUAACUAAUGAGUAUAAUCAAGCCUGAGCCUAAACAAGAGUGGUUAAACAACUAUUGUCUGUCACAUGGCCACAUGACGAGAUCAAAGUUCCAGUACCAUCUUGCGAAGGUCCACAUUCUGUUAGGUUUGGGGUAUUUUAUACAUCAACUUGAUUUCCAAAAACAGCAGAUUAAUGGGGAGUGGUUGAAUGUUUAACGGAGGGGGAACAUCCAAUCAGUGAAAGUUCUGUGUGAACGUGUAACUUACUAUAUGUUUGGUUAGUUCGAUAAUCCAAUUAAUCCCUAAAUAGAAAUCCAUUUAUCAACUUGAACAUAAGAACUAUUACAAUUAUCUAGGAAGCUAGCUAACUGACCAAUACUGUAUUCUGCUGUUGCUCUAUUUUGAAAGCUUAUGAUCAUAUUUGCCUUCCCAUUACCAAAUGCAAAAGCAUCAUUCAAAGCUGCAAAUUAGUAUGAUUUAUAGGGAUAAGCAUGUUCGGCAAGAAUCUGUACUUCUAUCAAAUUUCCGAUAGUAUGAUAAUCAGAAUCUGGCGAGUAUCAUAAUCAGAACUCUGUUUUGGUGCGUUACUCUCUAGUGAUGAUGGAAUGAUGGCUGAAGGGGGUUUACCAGGAAAACGGAAUCACGAGCGGCAAUGGCGGCGAUGUCGGCACAAGAGACUACUUGACCACAUUUCUUCUCCACGAGCUGACUGAGGUCAUCAAUGAUCUUGAAUGCUGUCCGUCUCAAGCUCCUGUUUGGUGGAGCGUCCUGCUCGCUCGGUUCAUUUGCCGAUCCAUCCAGCAACACCGAACCAUCGCAUCCCUGCAUCACUCAUCAGAUCUUAAAAAAUAAUCGUGAAUUCAAAGAAUGUUUUAUCAUUUAUUUUAAUGUAAGUGAUCAAGAUUCAAUUGUAAAAGAAACCGCGAUGACUUAAACCCAUCCUAACCUUCAAAGCAAAAAAAUCCUCGCCACACACAAUCCGGGCUUAACUGGACUGCUCGUACAAUCAUCUUAUGAAGACAAUUUACCAGAAUUAUUACAGCAGUUCUGUCUAAAACCUGAACACGGGAGUUCUAUGAACUUCUAUGCUCUUCAUUUUAGCAUAUAAAGCACUAAAGAUCAGGAUCAACUAUGUCAAACGCUCAAAAAGCAUCCUCCAAAACUUCAGCAAGUGUUUACUAGUAAGACAGUAAUAUUAGUAUGCUAAAAGACAAAGUCGUGAUGGCUUUAGGCACCCGUAUGACUUCGUAAUCUACCCAGCAUUCUAAAAAUUAGCAAUAUCAAAAGGAAAGAAGUUCACUUAUUGCAGCUGCUAACCUAGGCCACCAACUCGACAAGAACUUUUUUUUUUCUUUGGCCUCUCCGUCUUUUCUUAUUCUCGUCUAUUUUGCUGGGGAAGAAGAUGAUCACAGAUCUUGCCAAAAGGGUGUGUAAACAUUUUAACAUCAGCUGACCACCAUAUACAAGGACAUGUGACGAGCAAAUCAAGAUACAACUUUCAAGUAAAUCCCAAAUCACUUUGCCCGGUAUAGUGAAUGCAGAUUGUGACAGAGCUCCUUGGGUACCUACCUUAACAAAGCAGUCAUGGAAGUGCACACGAAGUAGCCCGGCAGCUUGGCCAAUGUCCUUCUCAAACACCUUCUUGAGAUGUUUCCUGAUGACGGACUCAACCUUGGGACAGCUUUUCUCGUAGAAGGACCACGAGAGCCCCUUCACUAAGUGAGCAGAGCUCGAGACAUGAACAGGCGACGAAGCUAUCACGAGACAAGAAAUCAAAACGAAAGAGCUGAAGCGGGAGGCCAUGAUGUGAACUGGGUCUGGUCUAAGGUUCUUGCACAAGGUAAGAUCAACCGAGCAAGGGUCCCUACUUAUACAGGCAGGUAGAUUGACUUGAUGCCAAAGCAAUUUUGAGUUUUCUACCUUGCAUGAGGUUCUUGCACAAGGUAAGUUCAAGACUUUCUGGACGGCAUGUGGAGUUGAAAGUUCAACUGACACGUAAACAGAACAAAAGAUAAACGUAAUCUCCCUCCUUUUUGUCAAUUUGAUGAUGAUGAUGAUUGGACGUUGGGACACAGGCGGCACCUCCGAAUAGGAUCUUAUCCGCCAUAUUUUCUUCUGCCCCUUUGACGAGGUACAGCGAUGGCUUACCUUUGGCACGUGGGAUAUGAUGUCUUGACAGAUUCCGACCAGUUCCAUUUCGCACAUGGAGCGGUCUUUGCGCAAAAUUAAGUUUGGAUCGUUUUCGAUAUAGAUUAAAUAAAAUUAUUCCAUUUGAAUGGGAUAGAGUAUGAAAUACAUAAAAUCAAAACUAGACAGAGGAAAAAAGAAAAGUAGAGGGUGGACAGUAAAGAGGAGCCCGACGGAUUACGGAGAAUAAAGCAAGGAAUCACAGGUCGACGGACCAUUGAUGGCAACAAUUGGGGUGGUUAUAUUAUCAGGUUGUCACCACUUAACCACCCCAUGAUCAUUGCAAUGGACAUGCUUUAUAGGUGGCAACCCCAACCACCACAAGAAUGGGGGUCAUUAUCACGGUGUGUAAGAUUAAAAUAGGAUGUUGCCUAUUUCAUCAUGAUAUAUAUUAUGCUACUUAUGUCAGUCUAUAAGAUAGCAUACUAUAUGAUAACUGCAAUGUACAAUAAGUUUACGAAUGAUACAUGGAAUGUAAGAAUACAUGGAUACCUUACACAAUCCCGUAAUAUGCUAUUUGACUAGACAUUUAGAAAAAUCAAAUACAAUAAAUAGAUAAAUAUCAUAUUCUCAUGUUGACUAAAAUUUAAUAAUCAAUUCAACGUUGUUUAUCGUCGCUCGAAAAUCUAAAUUAGAAGAUUGUGUACUCUUUGUAGUCAUUAGGAAAAAUAGGGUUAAGCAUCGAGCCAGUUUAAUAGGGGAACUGAUUGGAACUAACCUUUGUUAGUUUAGUAAAAACUGGUUCAAUUCCCGAUUUGAAAAUCAAGAACCAAUCUAGAUUAGCUUGGUUCCUCGUUCCAAAACUACAAUCGUUGAUUCUACUGAAAAUGGAGGAAAAAUCACAUUCAUUAAGAUUCGAAUCAUGAUCUCCGUUACGAAGAAAUAUAUGAAUAAUUAUCUAAACCAAAAACUUUUUUUUUGUUGCUUAAAAGAUGCAUCCUUAAUGUUUAAUAAUAAUUUCUUAAAUAUUUGCCUUAAAAAAGUAAAGUGACCGGUUCUUGAGAAUCGCCAUACUAAAAUUAAUAAGUUGGCUUCUCAAUUUCGAGAAUACUAUUGAUUCUCGAUUCUGGUCCAGAAGAGAUUUAUUCCAAAUCCACUCACCCCUAUAAAGUCCACAAAUCACGCAGAUCAAUAAUCACCUUGUAUGCAUGGAAUUAUUGGACUGUCGAGACUAGCGGGGUGUUUGAAAAAAUACAAAAAAAAAACUUAUUCUGGCAAAAGUUGGAAACUUUUGAAUUUUAAACAGAGGCAAGAUUCUCGCACAUGCUAAAAGUAGUGAUCAUUAUCAAUUAACAUUCUAACACCUCAAAGGCCUGCAAAAAAAAAAAAAAAAAGCCAAUCCUGGGGGCGUCGCAUUAUUGCAAAAAAUAGAGGUUUGAAGAAAAGUCGUUGCCCUGUGUUAAUUGAAUUUAUAUACCAAAAACGAAUCGUUGCUCAUGAAUCCAUGCGUCAUCCUUCCUCAUAAUUAUUGUUUUCCUUCUUCUAUUUCAUGAAAAAUCAUAAAUAAACUAAAAAAAUAAUUUCCUAAAAAUAAUUACUUAUAUCACUAAAAAAUAUUUGUCAAUGGAAAAUAUGUCAAUAUUGACAAUAAUUUAUGUAUAAAAAAAUUUCAUAGAUGAUGAAAGUUUUUUUUUUCAUUUGUUUUUUUUUUUUUUUAUACCCAGGGAACCCCGACCGCAGCUAGCGGGUAAACCCUGGAGUGACGCUAGCGGAGGAUUCAUCACCCCGACGUCACACUUAAGACCCUAAGCAUCACACUUGAGACCCCAAGCGACCGUGAGAGAAUUCGAACUCCUCCCCUUUGUGAGGGGGAGAGAGCCCAAACCAUCGCGACCAUCAAGGCGGUGGUUUCAUUUGUUCUUUUUAUUAUUUUUAGAAAAAAAUAUGUUUCAAAUCAUUCAUCUUUCACAAAAUAAAUGCAUCUCGUAAAGCGUCUUAGUUUCAUUUUCUUGUUCAUGGAUUUACUUAGCAUACCAUCAUUUUUUUUUUUGACUUAGCAUACCAUCAUUGAUAAUAUAAGAGAAAGCCUUUAAGUUGAUAUAUCAUAUAACCAACCUGCUUGCACCUUAUUACGCGAGUGUGUUCGUCACGCGUACAUACAAUGUUUGAAAUACUUUUACCUGAUUUCUUGUCUCUCUAUUCUUCUAUUGUCGUGAACGGAACAUUAACCAUCUCACGAUCCUUUUCCUACACACGGUACGCCCUCCAUUUUUGAAAAUUAACUUCUGCUGAAAUGGUCUAAGGUCUUAUCUUCUUCUUCCAUAAUUGGUGGCUGUGCAUUUUUCAAUAAACGGGGUAGGCGCUAGAGAACAAGGUGCGAGAUGACUUUCGCUACGCCUUUUUCUCCUUUUUCUGUUUUCUCAGACCGACUUCUUUUUGCCUUUUUCCCUUGCGAUUCGCGUGCUUUCUGCAUUGAAUCUCAUCUUUCUUUCCUUUCUUUAGUCAUAUAUGGAGAAAAAAAUAUGCGAGAAGUCUUAAAUCUAUUAUAUUAAUGCAAAAUUAAUUCUAAAUAUUUUAAUGGUAUCAAUUUAAUCAUAAAUAUUUUAAUCUAGUAUCAAUUCAAUUCUAAUUUUUUUUUUGAUUUAAUGUCAAUUCAAACAUUUCGGAUAAUUUUGGCUAGAUAUUACUAACGUAGAUGUUGACUAUCUUAUGUGGAAUAACAGGUGCUAAUAUGGACAACUAUUGAUAACAUUUUUUUUUUUAACUUUCAUUUAAUAAUUCUUUUCUUUUUCCUAUUUUUCUUUUCUUUCUCUUUCCUUUUUUUUGCCUUCCCUUCCUUCUUCCUCCAACCAAUCACUAGACCUCCGCGACCAGCCAAUAGUGAGGCUCAAGCCUUACUGCCAAUGCAAAAAGGAAAGUGAAACAAAAAAAAUCAAAAUAAAAAAAUCAAAAAUAUUAAAAUACUAUUAAAAGUUGUGUAAGUCAAUACCGGCAUAAGAUAAGUGGUGUUCACGUCAAUAAUAUGAAACCAAAAUUAGUUAAAAAGACUGAAUUGGUAUUAGUUCAAAAAAACUAGGGUAUUUGACCAUGAAAAACCCCAAACUAGUACACAUGUGACAAAUUUACCCCGACUAACUAUAAAAAACCCUAAACUGGUAUAUUUACCCCAAAUUUACCCCAAAUUAAUUUAUUCGACCACAAAAAACCCCAAACUAGUAAAUUUGUGAUUAAUAUACCCUCCGAAAAAUUAGAUUAAUACCACAAAAAAAUCACAAAAAUUAUAAACUAUGACAAACAGAGUGUAAAAUCUCAAAUUGAUAUACCGGUCAAUUGUCACGUGUUAUUUAACUUUAUAAUUUAACAAGAAAAUUUAACUAAAACUAACAAAUGGUAAAUUUGUCAAAGGUAUACCAGUUUGGGGUUUUUGGUGGUCAAAAAAAUAGUUUGGGGUAAAUUUGUCACAAGUGUACCAGUUUGGGGUUUUUCAAGGCAUUAACCCAAAAAACUAUAACUAAAUUAGCAUAAAUAUAAUAUGUUUAAAACUCUUUUCACACUUUUCCCAUCCUAUGUAGAAUAUUGAGGGCAUUUCCGUAAUUUCAUUUGUUAUGAUUUCACCUCUCAUUAGGCUUUUUUUUUUUCUCUCGUUUGGGAAAAGAUCGAUAUUCCAGGGAAAAAUGUGUUUACGACGAAAAUGUGAAGUUAAGGUUAACAACGCCAGCUAAAUGUCAAUGAAUGCGAAUUAGGUCGAUUUUUGGUUUGGUCAGAAAUAACACAAACACGCAAUUGAACGCAUUUGAAAUUAGAUUGUGUUUACAAAUAUGGACGUCAUCCAUUUGCAAAACUUGCCCAAACGUCAAUGGAAGCGAUGCUGGAGUGUGGAAAAACUGCGCAGAGGAGUGUGCAGCUUUUGGGCCCCAAGCCGGAAGUACCAUAAUCGUGCGUCCUUUUCAUUGGAAGUGGCUAGGUCGUAGAUUUGCUGAUACUACAUGGGCGAGCAUGACCUGUCCUUUUUUUCUUUUUUCUUUUUUCAUGACCUGUCCUUGACCUUUCCGAAUGUCUAGACUUCAAGAAGGCCCACGAGAUUUCCAAAUCCAUAGAAGAAGGAAGGCCCACGAGAUUAGCCUCUGUGUUGAUCUCCAGCCUCGUCAUUUCUUUUUGCUCAGAAAAUCAGGUUUUUGAUUCAGGCAUGUCCUUUGUUGACUUAUGGAAUUUCAAGAAUAUUUCAUUUUGGACCAAUGCCAAUAUGGACAAAAGGGUCGGUGUAGAAAGACUUCCCAUGUAAUGGACACAAUGAGCGCAAUGCGCAUCCGCUCUUUAGAUCAUAUGGUUUUUAGGCUCGCAUGCUCUCAAAGCAAAAUCCCUUAAGAAGACCUUAAACCUACUCACCGGAACGGCAAGAUCGAUACCCGGUAAAUGGAGGAUCACAGAGACUGAACAGUUCAUAUUCACACACAAAUUUUGUGGAUGUAGCAAUUAGUCAAGAUGUAAUAACCCUGCCAUUUACUUUUAUCAAAUCAUUCACACAAAAGUGCAGUUCAAGUUUCAUCACGUUACUUGAAUUCAUUUCUCCUAAAUAAAAAUAUAGUUUCGAAGAGAUGGUCGCCAUUCUCCAUCUAAAAGCAUCUCGUCAACAUGGAGCGACGAGAUGACGCAUGGAAACAUUUUUGCAUCAUUGCUUCAACAUAUUAAGUCCGGAUGAGAAGUAGAGAGAUCGAAAUGUUUUCAAGAGAACAUCUUUGUGGGAUUAAUAGGAAUGGGAUUGUCCUAAGUUAAGUAUAUUACAGUCUAAGUGAAAUUCUCGGAGGGAAACUCAAUCUCAGUUUUUCAUUCUGUAAUCAUAGAUGAACCGACCAAGUCAACUCAGCAUCGAUCAUUCUUAUUUCCGAAAUAUUUGAUGAGGAUGUUUUUGGGGAAGCAUAUUGGAGAUGAGAUUGACAUGAUGCAGACCAAGAUGAUACCUGCAUCGACAUGUGAAAAUAGCAAAGAAACUAAACUCUUUGUUUCAAUCAUUCUCAAGAGAGGAGAUGGUUGUUCAGGCAAAUCCGAAUUCCCAACAAAAUUAACUGCGAUCGACACGGUCUUGAAAAACUCUAUCUAGAUACGAUAUCCUGUUGUCUAUCUAGCGUGUAUCAAGUUAUUAACAAUUGCAGAAGCUGCAUCUGCAUGUCAUUGCCUGCUUCAGACCUCGAUCAACUCUACAAAGCUAAUACAUUUUCUCAAUAAGGUCACGAACAGAGUAAACCCUUGUUUAAAACAUGGAUAUUUGAUGUUUUAUAAUAAUUUCUUAAGUUUUUCCCUUUAAAAAGAAAAGUCAUUGAUUCUCGGGAACUGCCAUACUCAAAUUAAUCAGUUCAAUUCUGAAAAUAAUAUUGAUCCUCGAUUCUAGGCCUGGAAUUGAUUUAUUCUAGAUCGACUAGCCUCACAACUGUAAAACCCACGAAUCAUGUAGAUUAAUAGUCACCUCAUAUGUAUAGAAUUAUUUGAUUGUUGAGAUUAGUCCGGUGUUUGAAAGAAUAAAACAAAACUAUUCUUGCAAAAAUUGGAAAUUUAUGUAUUUUCAACCGAAGCAAGAUUCUCGCACAUGCUAAAUUUAGUGAUUAUUGUGAAUUAAUAUUCUAACACCUCAAUCUUACCAAAAAAAAAAAAACAUUCUAACACCUCAAAGGCCCGCGAUAAAAAGCCAAUCCUGGAGGCGUCGCGUUAUUGCAAUAAAAAGAGGUUUGAAGAAAAGUCUUGGCACUGUUUUAAUUAAAUUUAUAUAAAUAAAUAAAAACAAACAGACUGCUGAUCAUCAAUCCAUGCCUUAACCACUGGGAUUCGCCCCAGUGGCCACCCUUCCAAUAUGGAAGGGGGAGGUGAGGGGUUCAAGUGGGGACACGUAAGUUUCAAAAGUGGGUUUCAACUCCCACGCUCUGCAAGAGACAUGGCAAAAGUCUGAGUGUGAGUGUAGAGUAGGAAUAGAGUAUGACUGACAAAAAAAAAAAAAAAUCCAUGCCUCGUGCUCACUCGGAAUUAAUGUUGUCUUCAAUUUUUUUUACAAAAAAUAAAUGAUUUAAUAAAAUAAAUAUUUUUUUUUAGAAAUGAUCACUCGUGGAAAAUGUUUUAUUGUCGAUAACAAUUUAUGUUUGUAAAUUCUCAUGGAGGCUGAAUUUUUUUUUCUCAUUGGUUCCUUUUUUGUAAACAAUACAAAUGAUUAUUUUUAGAAAAAUAUUUUUCAAAUCAUUCAUUUUCUUUAAAAAUAAAAGCAUCUUGUAAAAUAAUAUUAUUGAUAAUAAAAGAGAAACCCUUCAUAGCAACAUAUAAUAUAACCAACCUUCUUCCAUGUUAUUGUGUCUUUGCAACCUAUCAUGUGUGCAUAUGAUGCUCGAAAGACAGGAAAAGUGCUUAAAUGUCCUAAACCUUUUUAUAUUUGUGUCAAUUUAGUCCUAAACUUUUUUUUGUGUCAAUAUAGUCUUAAACAUUUUUACUUAGUGUCAAUUCAGUCAUUUUCAGCUAAUUUUGGCCGAAUUUUGCUAACUAGACAUCAGCUAGCUGACGUGGCCUGAUCGGUGCUAACGUGGACAAAUUAUAAUAAUAUUUUUGAAUUUUUGAAUUUUUUUUCUUUUAUUUUUGUUUUUUCCCUCCCCUCCUCCAGCCGAUCAACCCCGCCGGACCUCGCCAGCCACCUCACCCUCGCCGCCUAGCGCGACAGUGGCUAUGAGGGCGGCCUCACACUAGGUGGCACUGGUGAGGCCGCAAGGGCAACCUAGCGCCAAGUUGGCAAGGUCGAGCCUCGCUGACCAUGGGCGAGGCUCGCCCUUACUAGCGUUGCCCAAGCUGCAAGGGUGACCUAGUGUUGGGUUGGCAAGGUUGAGCCUUGCCGAAUUGCGACCCGGGCAACCUAACGCCGGGCUGGCAAGGGUGAGGUGGCCAGUGAGGUUCGGUGGGCUUGACCUCGUUCGGCGACCGGCUGGAGGAGGGGAGGGAAAAAAUAAAAUAUAAAAAAUAUAAAAAAAUAUUCGAAAAUAUUAAAAUAUAAAAAAUAUUCGAAAAUAUUAAAAUAUUAUUAAAUUUGUCCACGUCAACACCGAUUAGAUCAUGUCAGCCGGCCAACGUCUAGUCAACAAAAUUGGACCAAAAUUGGCCGGAAAUGAUUAAAUCGGCACUAAGUAAAAAUGUUUAGAACUAAAUUGGUACAAAUAUAAAAUGUUUAGGACUUUUUCAGCACUUUUUCCCUCAAAAGACCUUAACCUUUUUUGUUUUUUUUGUUUUUUGGUGAAAGGUAAUUAUAUUAAGCUAAAACCAAUAAUUACAACAAAAACAGCACCUUAACCUUUUUUGUUUGUCUCUCUAUUCUUCAUUUAUCGUGAGUAGAGCAUUAACCUUCUCACGAUCCUUUUCCUAGACGCCAUAAGUAUACCCUUCAGUUUGAAAAUUAACAUCUCAUAAUUAGAAAUCAUGCUUAGACCUCAUAACUUCAAUAUGGUUGUAGGAAACGUUAAUUAUGAGAUUAGGUAAGAUGCAAAGUGUAAUGAAUGAGAAGUUGAGGCUGACUUAUUUCUACACUUUUUCCCCCUUUUCCACCCGUUGCAAAGAUGAGAAAUUAUUAUCAUAGCAAUUGGAUCUAGAACCCCUAAAGGCUUGGGGCAUAAGCUUUAGGUUAGGGUCGUCAGUCGUCGCCAGGACAAUCCCAUUAGUCAAAUUCAAUAUCUGCAACUUCUGCCGAAUGGUCUAAUGUCUUUUCUUCUUCUUCUUUAAUUGGUAGCUCAAAAUUUAGCAUCGGGGGACCUCUUUUCAUCAAUGCGGUACACGCUAGAGAACAAGCUGCGAAAGGACUUUCGCUGUGCCUUUUUCCUUUUUGUUUUCUCACCUUACUUUUCACCUUUUUUGCCUUUCGAUUUCGAUGCUUACCGCGUUCAUCUCAUCUUUCGCUGUGCCUUUUUCCUUUUUGUUUUCUCACCUUACUUUUCACCUUUUUUGCCUUUCGAUUUCGAUGCUUACCGCGUUCAUCUCAUCUUCCCUUCCUUGCUUCAGCCAUAGAGAACAUCAAGGGGCAGCUUUCGCAAAUUCAUUUAUUAUGAUUUAACCAUUCAUUGGGCUUUUUUCUUCAUUUGAGAUAAGAUCAAUACUCAGGAAAAAACAAGUUUACAUUAGGUUGUGAAUGCUUAUUGAGUUGGUGCUUGGUUCAGCCAGUAAUAACAUAAAACAUCCUGUCAAAUGCAUUUGGAAUUAGGUUAUGUUUACAAAUAUAGACAAUAUCCAUUUGCGAACCGACCUAAAAGGUCGAUACCGACAGGCUAUGUCAGCAUAUAUAACUUCGCGUGUCCUUUCCUUGGAAGUGGCUAAAAGUCGUAGGUUGCUGAUAUCUCGUGCGCGAGCAGGACCUGUCCUUGACCUUUUCAUAUGUUUAGAGUUCAAGAAGGCCCAUGAGAUUUCCAAGUCCACGAAAGAAGGAAGGCCCGCGAGAUUAGCCUCGGUAUUGAUCUCCAGCCUCGUCGGUUCUUUUUGCUCAGAAAAUCAGGUUUUGGUUCAGGCAUAUCCUUUGUUGACUUAUGGAAUUUCAAGAAUAUUUCAUUUUGGACCAGUGCCGAUAUGGACAAAAGGAUCCGUAUAGAAAGGUUUCGCAUGUUUUGGGCACGAUGAGCCCAAUGCGCACCCACUCUUUAGAUCGGAUGAGUGCAUCUGAAUUAUGCUCGCAUGCUCUCGAAGCAAAAUCUCUUAAGAAGGCCUUAAAGCCACUUGCCAGGACAGCAAGAUCAGUACCCGGUAAAUGCAGGAUCACAUAGACCGAAGAGCUCAUAUCCACACACAAAUUCCCUGGGUUUAGCGAUUAGUCAAGAUGUAAUAACCCCAUUGACUUUUAUCGAAUCAUUUACACAAAGGCGCGGUUCAAGGUUCGUCCUCAAGUUCAUUUCUUCCAAAUAAGGACAUAAUUUCAAAGAGGUGGUCCCUGCACUCCAUCUGAAAACAGCUCGUCGACACGGAGUGAUGACGCGUCAAAACAUUUUUGCAGCACUGCUUCAACAGAUUCAAGCCCAGAUGAGGAGGGAGAGAGAUCGAAAUGGUUUCGAGAGAACACCUCCCUUGUGGGAUUAAUAGGGACAUGCAUGGAAUUUACCAUAAGUAAAAUACAGUCUAAGUGAAAUUUUCGGUGGGAAACUCAAUCUUAGUUUAUCGUUCUAUAUUCAUAGAUGAACCGACCAAGUUGACUCGGCAUCAAUUCUUCUUGUUUCCCAAAUAUUCGAUGAGCAUGUUACUAGGGAAGCAUAUUGGAGGUGAGAUUGACAUGAUGCAUACCAAAAUGAUCCUUGCAUCGGCAUGCGAAAAUAGCAAAUAAACUUAACUCCCCGUUUCAAUCAUUCUCAAAUAGGAGACCGUCGUUCCAGCUAAUCCGAAUACACAACAGCAUUAACUACGAUCGACAGAGUCUUGAAAUAGCCCAGAAAAUCUAUUUAGAUGCGAUAUCAUAUUAUCGACGGAGUAUGCAAAGCUACAUCUGCAGGUCAUAUCCUGCUUCAGACCUCAAUCAAUUCUAUAAAGCUAUUCACAAAUUCUCAUUAAGGCAACGAAAAGAGUAUACCCUCUACUUGCUACCAGAACUAGACUAUUGACUCACAAGCUUACCCUUGAAUCCCUCCCUUUCCGGGUAAUUUAACUUCGGCAAAGAAACCAUACCUUUGAUGAAUCCCCCUGGUUUUCAUCCGAAUGC